AGGCGUGACGCGCGCCGCGGGGGCGCGCGGGACCUGCACUUGGAAGCGGAACCGACUGGGGGACGCAGCCACGCACUUAGAAAGAGCGCGGGACGCUCGCCCUCUAGCGAGCCCUCUCUCCGUCCCGGCCUGAGGAGGAGGAGGGUUCGAUUCAAGGGAAGCGGCACGCGACUUCACCCGAUCGCGGGCUGCGGCGCACCACGGCGGCCCCGUUCCAUCCAUUUCAGCCGACCCUCGCUUCGCUUCGCGCGCUGGCGCGCGCGCGCCGCGGGGACGGCCACUUGCACUCGAUCGAGGAGCCCAACUCACUCCCGACGGAGCGGGAGCGGGAGCGCGGAUCGGUGGGGGGCGC
RNAcentral lists this ribosomal RNA (352 nucleotides) under Acanthorrhynchium papillatum. Its description in RNAcentral is "bacterial LSU rRNA". The record is from RNAcentral. Lineage: Eukaryota; Viridiplantae; Streptophyta; Bryopsida; Hypnales; Sematophyllaceae.